GGAUAUAGUCUCGUGGUGGGCCGUUUUUUAAGGCCGUCGGAAAAGCGCAGUAUUCAGGUGGGAGUGACCCGAUUUUCCAGGUGCCGUCUGUUACUCCUUUCUUUGACUAGGAAAGGGAACUCCCUGACCCCUUGCGCUUCCCGAGUGAGGCAAUGCCUCGCCCUGCUUUGGCUCGCGCACAGUGCGCGUGCACCCACUGACCUGUGUCCACUGUCUGGCACUCCCUAGUGAGAUGAACCCGGUACCUCAGAUGGAAAUGCAGAAAUCACCCGUCUUCUGCAUCGCUCACGCUGGGAGCUGUAGACUGGAGCUGUUCCUAUUCGGCCAUCUUGGCUCCUCCCAGAGGAAAGUACUUUCAAGCUUGCCUGAGGUCUGAGAAGCUGAGCUUUCUGCAGUGGUCUCAGUGGAACCUUUGACCAGAGCAUUCGAAGGGUGCCUUUCCUGUUUCCUUUCUCGGCAUUGAAACAUCAAGAUACGGAAUCCAGAAGGGUCACCAGAACCUGGCCCUCUGCAAUCUGGACUCGAGGCUGCAGACUUGCUGUUGAACUGGGCUGGGCAGGAGGGCAGAGUGGGCACCAGGGCCCACCUUCCUGGGGCCCUGAAAGGGUGGGAUGGUGUGUACUGGUCCCCUCACCCAAAUGCAGGUGUGGGAGGAGGACAUCCAUCAUGAUGCUACAUGGCAUUUGCUUCACCACCAGGAGAGAGGAGAAGUGGAGCCAAGCGUCAGAAACUGGCCAUAAACAGCAGGAGGGCCCAAGGUCUUCCCAGUGAGAGGAG
RNAcentral lists this long non-coding RNA (777 nucleotides) under Homo sapiens (human). RNAcentral describes it as "HSALNT0280622". The record is from RNAcentral. Lineage: Eukaryota; Metazoa; Chordata; Mammalia; Primates; Hominidae.